UACCCGCAGCACAAGUGGUGGUCAUUAUUAUUGGGCCUAAAGCGUCCGUAGCUGGCCUGUUAGAUGCCUGGGUAAAUCGAUGCGCUCAACGUAUCGAACUCCGGGUAGACCGGCAGGCUUGGGACCGGGAGAGGCGUGAGCUACUCGGGGGGUAGGGGUAAAAUCCUGUAAUCCUCCGGGGAGGACCAGUGGCGAAGGCGUCACGCUAGAACGGCUCCGACAGUGAGGGACGAAGCCCUGGGGCGCAAACCGG
This 253-nucleotide ribosomal RNA is filed under the name uncultured bacterium. Its description in RNAcentral is "partial 16S ribosomal RNA". It matches the Rfam family "Archaeal small subunit ribosomal RNA", at positions 474 to 727 of the family's 1478-position model. The record is from RNAcentral.